This 306-nucleotide unclassified non-coding RNA is filed under the name Hevea brasiliensis (rubber tree). The record is from RNAcentral. Lineage: Eukaryota; Viridiplantae; Streptophyta; Magnoliopsida; Malpighiales; Euphorbiaceae.
CACGAGCUUUAAUGAGCAAAGGCAGGCAUUUAAGACCCAAAAAAAUAACAGUGGAAAUGCCCCCAACCGCCAGGUCUCUAAUACUGUGUCGCUUUCCCUAUCACCGGAGAGCUUUUAAUGAACUCCUCUCCCUUUUUUGGGUAGUGGGGGUUCUAAUCGGUUGUUCUUCUGACAGGGCUCUUGGGUUGGGCAGUGGCCGAUAAGCUGAGCAAGCAAGCAAAGCAAGAGCUGAAUCAAGUUCAGAUCAAUAAGCAAGAAAGAAAAGAGAGAUAUGGGUAUUGGUUUCACGUUGAGUGGUGGAAUUUC